This 796-nucleotide ribosomal RNA is filed under the name Dactylonectria estremocensis. Its description in RNAcentral is "partial large subunit ribosomal RNA". It matches the Rfam family "Eukaryotic large subunit ribosomal RNA", at positions 80 to 907 of the family's 3401-position model. The record is from RNAcentral. Lineage: Eukaryota; Fungi; Ascomycota; Sordariomycetes; Hypocreales; Nectriaceae.
CUAGUAACGGCGAGUGAAGCGGCAACAGCUCAAAUUUGAAAUCUGGCCCUUUAUAACCGAGUUGUAAUUUGUAGAGGAUGCUUUUGGUGAGGCGUUUUCCGAGUUCCCUGGAACGGGACGCCAUAGAGGGUGAGAGCCCCGUCUGGUUGGACACCGAUCCUCUGUAAAGCUCCUUCGACGAGUCGAGUAGUUUGGGAAUGCUGCUCUAAAUGGGAGGUAUAUGUCUUCUAAAGCUAAAUAUUGGCCAGAGACCGAUAGCGCACAAGUAGAGUGAUCGAAAGAUGAAAAGCACUUUGAAAAGAGAGUUAAAAAGUACGUGAAAUUGUUGAAAGGGAAGCGCUCAUGACCAGACUUGGGCUUGGUUGAUCAUCCAGGGUUCUCCCUGGUGCACUCUUCCAGUUCAGGCCAGCAUCAGUUCGCUGUGGGGGAUAAAGGCUUUGGGAAUGUGGCUCCUUCGGGAGUGUUAUAGCCCAUUGUGUAAUACCCUGUGGUGGACUGAGGUUCGCGCAUUCGCAAGGAUGCUGGCGUAAUGGUCAUCAGCGACCCGUCUUGAAACACGGACCAAGGAGUCGUCUUCGUAUGCGAGUGUUCGGGUGUUAAACCCCUACGCGUAAUGAAAGUGAACGCAGGUGAGAGCUUCGGCGCAUCAUCGACCGAUCCUGAUGUUCUCGGAUGGAUUUGAGUAAGAGCAUACGGGGCCGGACCCGAAAGAAGGUGAACUAUGCCUGUAUAGGGUGAAGCCAGAGGAAACUCUGGUGGAGGCUCGCAGCGGUUCUGACGUGCAAAUCGAUCGUCA